RNAcentral lists this ribosomal RNA (284 nucleotides) under uncultured Actinomycetales bacterium. Its description in RNAcentral is "partial 16S ribosomal RNA". It matches the Rfam family "Bacterial small subunit ribosomal RNA", at positions 504 to 785 of the family's 1533-position model. Lineage: Bacteria; Bacillati; Actinomycetota; Actinomycetes; Actinomycetales. The record is from RNAcentral.
UGUGCCAGCCGCCGCCGGUAAUACGUAGGGUGCGAGCGUUGUCCGGAAUUACUGGGCGUAAAGGGCUCGUAGGUGGUUUGUCGCGUCGUCUGUGAAAUUCCGGGGCUUAACUCCGGGCGUGCAGGCGAUACGGGCAUAACUUGAGUACUGUAGGGGUAACCGGAAUUCCUGGUGUAGCGGUGAAAUGCGCAGAUAUCAGGAGGAACACCGAUGGCGAAGGCAGGUUACUGGGCAGUUACUGACGCUGAGGAGCGAAAGCAUGGGUAGCGAACAGGAUUAGAUAC